AUUGAACGCUGGCGGCAGGCCUAACACAUGCAAGUCGAAUGGUAACAGGAAACAGCUUGCUGUUUCGCUGACGAGUGGCGGACGGGUGAGUAAUGUCUGGGAAACUGCCUGAUGGAGGGGGAUAACUACUGGAAACGGUAGCUAAUACCGCAUAACGUCGCAAGACCAAAGAGGGGGACCUUCGGGCCUCUUGCCAUCAGAUGUGCCCAGAUGGGAUUAGCUAGUAGGUGGGGUAACGGCUCACCUAGGCGACGAUCCCAGCUGGUCUGAGAGGAUGACCAGCCACACUGGAACUGAGACACGGUCCAGACCCCUACGGGAGGCAGCAGUGGGGAAUAUUGCACAAUGGGCGCAAGCCUGAUGCAGCCAUGCCGCGUGUAUGAAGAAGGCCUUCGGGUUGUAAAGUACUUUCAGCGGGGAGGAAGGGAGUAAAGUUAAUACCUUUGCUCAUUGACGUUACCCGCAGAAGAAGCACCGGCUAACUCCGUG
Molecule: ribosomal RNA, 489 nt
Filed under: uncultured bacterium
Lineage: Bacteria
Description: partial 16S ribosomal RNA
Rfam family: Bacterial small subunit ribosomal RNA
Source: RNAcentral